AAAUCUGAAGUAAAAUAUUACAUUUAGUUUCGGCCUAAAAGACUGAUCAUAAAGAUCCAGAUUUU
This is a non-coding RNA of Daphnia pulex (common water flea), 65 nucleotides long. The record is from the annotation of a RefSeq genome assembly. NCBI's taxonomy places the organism in Eukaryota, Metazoa, Arthropoda, Branchiopoda, Diplostraca, Daphniidae.